CACGAAACUAGGUGCUGCAUGGUUGUCGUCAGCUCGUGCCGUGAGGUGUCGGGUUAAGUCCCAUAACGAGCGCAACCCCUGCUGCCAGUUACCAGCGAUUAAAGUCGGGAACUCUGGCGGGACUGCCGGUGUAAGCCGAGAGGAAGGUGGGGAUGACGUCAAAUCAGCACGGCCCUUACGUCCGGGGCGACACACGUGUUACAAUGGUAGGUACAGAGGGCAGCUACUCAGCGAUGAGGUGCAAAUCUCGAAAGCCUAUCUCAGUUCGGAUUGGAGGCUGAAACUCGCCUCUAUGAAGUUGGAUUCGCUAGUAAUCGCGCAUCAGCCAUGGCGCGGUGAAUACGUUCCCGGGCCUUGUACACACCGCCCGUCAAGCCAUGGGAGUCGGGGGUGCCUGAAGUUCGUGACCGCAAGGAGCGACCUAGGGCAAAACUGAUGACUGGGGCU
This 447-nucleotide ribosomal RNA is filed under the name uncultured bacterium. RNAcentral describes it as "bacterial SSU rRNA". It matches the Rfam family "Bacterial small subunit ribosomal RNA", at positions 1027 to 1482 of the family's 1533-position model. The record is from RNAcentral.